UGGGGUUUGGCUUAUUGGUAGAGCACUUGCCUCGCACACAUGAGGCCCUGGGUUCGAUCCUCAGCACCUCAU
This is a non-coding RNA of Ictidomys tridecemlineatus (thirteen-lined ground squirrel), 72 nucleotides long. The record is from Rfam. Lineage: Eukaryota; Metazoa; Chordata; Mammalia; Rodentia; Sciuridae.